ACCUGACGGCAAGCGGUGGGUGCCUAAUCCCACGCGCGGCUCAUCCUCGCUGAUCCACGGCGCGCUUCACCCAGCGACCACCGCUGCUGCUGUUUCCAUAUCUCUCUCUCUCUCUCUCUCUCUCUCUCUCUCUCUCUCAUUCACAGGAUCUAGUACCGUAUAACAUUGGAACUCCACAAUCUUUGCUACUACUGUUUGUAACUCCAUAAUCUCACCGUACCGGCCUCUUCCCUCUCUCAAACGGACCUUGCUUGUGUUACAACUCUGAAUCGUGUAGUACAUGUGUGCUGCGAAUUCGAGGCAAGUUCUCGUUUAGUUAUAUGGAUGGAUCCCUUGCAUAUAUGUCUAAUUGUUACAUAGACGAAAAAUGGAGUUACUAUGUAUGGGUUACUUGUUCCCUUGCAUAUUAUAUUCAUAUAUAUUUCGUCUUCUGUUUCAGAGAAAAUCCCCUCUUGCUUACUCCAUUUUUUAGCUACUGAAUUACUCCCCUCUUGCUUAUGAUCGGCUCAUCGCCUUGUUCAAUUCUAAUAUUGCAGAAAUGUACACUUAGUAGAAGAUUGAUGAAACAAAGAGAAACACGGGUUAAAACUGAGACCAGCAGCAUGGGACUCGAGUAAUCCUACUAAUCAUGCUACUGUUUCACACUAGCUAAUCAUGCUACUGUUGCUACUGGUUCAAAUUUAUGCUGCUUGCAAAAUCAGAGGCCACAAGUUCAACAAAUUAGUUAUUGGUUCAGACUUAUGUUGUUUCAUCCGUAUAUCGACUUACCAAAUUAACAUAAGCUCUUAGACCUUUUCUCCAUUAAAUUGCCCCGCUUGGACCUGCACAUUAAAAAUGGAUGUUAAGCACCAUAAAAAAUUGCAUAGUUUAGUAAACAAGUUAGCAUACAAGGUUUACAUAUUACAUAGCUACCUGGAGAUCCAUUUUGUCCUUGAUAAGCAACGACCAAGCUACAACCACCUCCAAUGUGGUGUCCCCAAGUACACAAUCAAACGCGGUUGUUUGGCACUGCUUAACAGGAAAGUCAACAUGCCCCUUUUGUGCAAUACACUGACCGGGCCCUCCGUAUGCUUCUAUGGUCACUCUCAGAAUCCCAUAUGAUUUCACUGAAACCACUCGUCUCGACAAGUGAAGAUACUUGCCUGAACCUGAAUGUAUUUCUUUGUCACGAUCAUCAAGCAAGACAAUUGACCUGCAAGUGGUAUCGAUCACAUCUACAGCAGAAGAAGGAGCCCAAAAGCAAAUGACCCGACAUCCAUGUUUGAAAGGCCAAUCCCCUUUGGUUACUCGUAUGCCCACAAUAGUAGCUUGGUGCGAUUUAUGAAGCUGCUCAAGUGUUAACUCAGUUGUACAACGAUGGUUGGAGAGCAAGAAGGUAGGUCCAUCACCACCAUAAGUCACACUGGCUGAGGAAGUGUUAAAAUCAUCUGUACCGCCGUAACGGCCUGUACAAAUAAUCAAUCUUUGCGACUCAGCUUCAUCGAUUACUUUGAGUUCAACUUCAAAGUCGACAUGGUCAAAACUAACAAUCGCACGAGACGGGCCAAUCAAGCAUAAGGAAUCAUUCUGCAGGAAUUAUAAUCAUUAUAAAUACCUAAUCGCAAUUAUACUACGGAACAUGAAUAAAAUGAGAAGAAAACUUAAUACAAUACAUACUUCUCCAUUUAGUUCUUGAUAAUCAAACUUUGGCCGAGAGAACAGAAUGUUGCGGUUGCGGUCCACAGUGUCUCGAGCAGCAACCUUGCCAUACACUUUGAAUGGCCAAUUCAAGCCUUUCAGAUUCUUUAUCUUAAUUGAAUAGAUCUGCAAAGUAGUACCAGUGACGGCAGCAGGGGAUGGGAUGCUGCCAGGUGUGUAGUGUGUAAACUGCAUAGGGCUUAGUAUGACUGCAGCACAAAGACAAGUGUCAAAUGUUAGAAUUCUAAUAUGAAUAAGCAAUGUAAAGAUAUCAUCAAAAACAAGCGUGUAAAUUGCAUAGGGCUCAAUAUGGCUGCAGCACCAAAGACAAGUGUCAAAUAUCAGAAUUCUAAUAUGAAUAAGCUUUGGAACAGAAAUAUUUCAUUUUGAAGAAAACGGAACUUCAUUGACAGCACACUGAAGCUAGAGGUACAUAAAAUGUGAUUAUUUUUCUAAAACGGGCUUGUUUGCAUUUAAAUCAUCAUGAGCUACCAAAUGGUACAUUAAUGUUCCUACUCCAGAAAUUGCCACAGUGCUUGAAAGAAUAGUUUCAUCUUCUACAAUUAGAAGAACUUUCUAGUUUAGCGGAUUGUCGACCGAUUCACAAGUUUACUACUAUCUAUUAAUGCUUCUAAUCAUUUUGCUAUGAUAAAAUUCUGCUUUAUCCAUAAAGAGAGAGCGCUAUAAGUUUAAGAUUCAAAUUAGUGAGGUGAUUUGCAUGGACAACUGGUGGUACAAAAGUUGCAAGGAUUGCUGAAAAAAGGUUCAAGCAUAGGGAGACACUUAUUACAAAAACUUGCAUCUCAUAGUUACUCCACACAAGUAACACACACAAAAGUACAGGAUAUGUACAGUUACACACAUCCCCCCUACUGUUAUGCGUGUAUGUCUCAUAGUUAGACAUUAAUAUGUAUGCUAAACUUUGUUAGUAGUGUACUAAUUGCUUGAUUUAUUCAAAACAAGAUAACUAUACAGAUGGUGUACAGGUUAAUCAUGAAAAUAUACAUCGAAUUCUGUUACCUUUUUAAGUUGAUUGCCAAUUAUGGAAGGGCCACUUUUAUAGGAUGUAACUAAGCAGUCAUACACAGGGAUGUUCAUAGUUUGAUUUGUAAGAGUAUGGGAAGUGACAAAAUUGACUUGGUGUUGUUGGAGCAUCAAGUUGUUACCCUACAUAUGUCAUGUUCCAUAUAACGAGAAGAGAACACAUUUUUUGUGUUUGUUUUAAACUGGCACUACCAUUUACAUUAUGUAAUAUCCGUAUCUACUAUGUAUCCAUUUAUUUAGGGGGGAACAAUGGAAGAACUGGUACCAGAAAGAAGACUGAUGCAAUUUAAGGAUCAGCUAACAAAGGGUUGCAUAAACACACAGUUGAAAACUUCAGCUUAUAUGAUGCUAGACAAAGCUCAGGCGUUUGGAUCACCUCUUAGGCUAUGCUUUACAUACCAGACCAGGGGUGAACAAAAUAGUACCCCAGCAAGAAAAUUUUCCACUGUUUCCUCACAAUGCGCCUUGCUGGAGGCUUGAGCAGAGCAGAACACUAUACUUUCAGGUCGAU
This 3232-nucleotide long non-coding RNA is filed under the name Triticum aestivum (bread wheat). Its description in RNAcentral is "long non-coding RNA (TAES_LNC024273)". The record is from RNAcentral. Lineage: Eukaryota; Viridiplantae; Streptophyta; Magnoliopsida; Poales; Poaceae.